This 253-nucleotide ribosomal RNA is filed under the name uncultured bacterium. RNAcentral describes it as "partial 16S ribosomal RNA". It matches the Rfam family "Bacterial small subunit ribosomal RNA", at positions 524 to 776 of the family's 1533-position model. The record is from RNAcentral.
UACGUAGGGUGCAAGCGUUGUCCGGAAUUAUUGGGCGUAAAGAGCUCGUAGGCGGUCUGUUGCGUCGGCUGUGAAAACCCAGGGCUCAACCCUGGGCCUGCAGCCGAUACGAGCAGACUAGAGUUCGGCAGGGGAGACUGGAAUUCCUGGUGUAGCGGUGAAAUGCGCAGAUAUCAGGAGGAACACCGGUGGCGAAGGCGGGUCUCUGGGCCGAAACUGACGCUGAGGAGCGAAAGCGUGGGGAGCGAACAGG